CCUACGGGGGGCUGCAGUGGGGAAUAUUGGACAAUGGGGGCAACCCUGAUCCAGCCAUGCCGCGUGUGUGAAGAAGGCCCUCGGGUUGUAAAGCACUUUCAGUGAGGAAGAACGCCUGGUGGUUAAUACCCAUCAGGAAAGACAUCACUCACAGAAGAAGCACCGGCUAACUCCGUGCCAGCAGCCGCGGUAAUACGGAGGGUGCGAGCGUUAAUCGGAAUUACUGGGCGUAAAGCGCGCGUAGGUGGCUUGAUAAGCCGGUUGUGAAAGCCCCGGGCUCAACCUGGGAACGGCAUCCGGAACUGUCAAGCUAGAGUGCAGGAGAGGAAGGUAGAAUUCCCGGUGGAGCGGUGAAAUGCGUAGAGAUCGGGAGGAAUACCAGUGGCGAAGGCGGCCUUCUGGACUGACACUGACACUGAGGUGCGAAAGCGUGGGUAGCAAACAGGAUUAGAUACCCGGGUAGUC
RNAcentral lists this ribosomal RNA (465 nucleotides) under Vreelandella stevensii. Its description in RNAcentral is "partial 16S ribosomal RNA". It matches the Rfam family "Bacterial small subunit ribosomal RNA", at positions 338 to 795 of the family's 1533-position model. Lineage: Bacteria; Pseudomonadati; Pseudomonadota; Gammaproteobacteria; Oceanospirillales; Halomonadaceae. The record is from RNAcentral.